This 292-nucleotide unclassified non-coding RNA is filed under the name Hevea brasiliensis (rubber tree). The record is from RNAcentral. Lineage: Eukaryota; Viridiplantae; Streptophyta; Magnoliopsida; Malpighiales; Euphorbiaceae.
GUGAAUGUAGCACCCAUUACACCUAUAAACAUAAAGACAAGAACCCAUUAAGAAUUUUCGCUAAAGCAAGUGAAAUAUGCAAAGAAAACAGUUGAAAGCCCAUUAAAAACGUUUUCUUUAGACCAUUCUUAGAACAAAAAUGGAAAAGGAACAACAAGGAACACCAGUCAGAAUCCAGUAAAAGAGAAGUUCAAGUUUUGUCAUUUUAAGAGGAAAAAGGUUUAAGAAAAAUGUGUGAGGAUGACCAGAAGUGUAAGAGAACAAGCGAAUAAUAGAGUGCAUUUGGCACUUU